This 107-nucleotide small nucleolar RNA is filed under the name Sorghum bicolor (sorghum). RNAcentral describes it as "Plant small nucleolar RNA R71". It matches the Rfam family "Plant small nucleolar RNA R71". Rfam says of the family: R71 is a member of the C/D box family of snoRNAs containing the C (UGAUGA) and D (CUGA) box motifs. Multiple nearly identical copies of this snoRNA have been identified in Arabidopsis, and it is thought to function as a 2'-O-ribose methylation guide for 18S ribosomal RNA. Lineage: Eukaryota; Viridiplantae; Streptophyta; Magnoliopsida; Poales; Poaceae. The record is from Rfam by way of RNAcentral.
AUUCUAUGAUGAGGACAUUCUAGGAUGUAGUCUUGAAAGCGCUCCCAUGCUUCUAGAACAGAUUCAUCAUUUUGUUGCUGAAAACUUGUAAUCUUGCCACGGAGAGC